RNAcentral lists this ribosomal RNA (484 nucleotides) under uncultured bacterium. RNAcentral describes it as "partial 16S ribosomal RNA". It matches the Rfam family "Bacterial small subunit ribosomal RNA", at positions 30 to 507 of the family's 1533-position model. The record is from RNAcentral.
AUUGAACGCUGGCGGCAGGCCUAACACAUGCAAGUCGAGCGGAUGAAGGGAGCUUGCUCCUGGAUUCAGCGGCGGACGGGUGAGUAAUGCCUAGGAAUCUGCCUGGUAGUGGGGGAUAACGUCCGGAAACGGGCGCUAAUACCGCAUACGUCCUGAGGGAGAAAGUGGGGGAUCUUCGGACCUCACGCUAUCAGAUGAGCCUAGGUCGGAUUAGCUAGUUGGUGGGGUAAAGGCCUACCAAGGCGACGAUCCGUAACUGGUCUGAGAGGAUGAUCAGUCACACUGGAACUGGGACACGGUCCAGACUCCUGCGGGAGGCAGCAGUGGGGAAUAUUGGACAAUGGGCGAAAGCCUGAUCCAGCCAUGCCGCGUGUGUGAAGAAGGUCUUCGGAUUGUAAAGCACUUUAAGUUGGGAGGAAGGGCAGUAAGUUAAUACCUUGCUGUUUUGACGUUACCAACAGAAUAAGCACCGGCUAACUUCGUG